UGCCCCAUGGCUGAGUUGGUUACAGCGUCCGACUGUUAUCCUUUCUUUAAGGGCAGCGGUAUCGGAAGGUCGUGAGUUCGAGCCUCACUGGGGCAG
Molecule: non-coding RNA, 96 nt
Organism: Multifurca ochricompacta
Lineage: Eukaryota; Fungi; Basidiomycota; Agaricomycetes; Russulales; Russulaceae
Source: the annotation of a GenBank genome assembly